UACAGAGGGUGCGAGCGUUGUUCGGAAUUAUUGGGCGUAAAGGGCGCGUAGGCGGUGCGGUAAGUCACCUGUGAAAUCUCCUGGCUCAACUGGGAGCUUGCAGGCGAAACUGCCGUGCUGGAGUGUGGGAGAGGUGCGUGGAAUUCCCGGUGUAGCGGUGAAAUGCGUAGAUAUUGGGAGGAACACCAGAUGCGAAGGCGGGUCACUGGGCUGAUACUGACGCUGAAGCGCGAAAGCCAGGGGAGCGAACGGG
RNAcentral lists this ribosomal RNA (253 nucleotides) under uncultured prokaryote. Its description in RNAcentral is "partial 16S ribosomal RNA". It matches the Rfam family "Bacterial small subunit ribosomal RNA", at positions 524 to 776 of the family's 1533-position model. The record is from RNAcentral.